RNAcentral lists this ribosomal RNA (207 nucleotides) under uncultured bacterium. Its description in RNAcentral is "partial 16S ribosomal RNA". It matches the Rfam family "Bacterial small subunit ribosomal RNA", at positions 568 to 774 of the family's 1533-position model. The record is from RNAcentral.
UCCGUAGGUGGUUUGUCAAGUCUGUCGUCAAAGAAUGGAGCUUAACUCCAUAAAGGCGGUGGAAACUGAGAGACUAGAGUUCGGUAGGGGUAGCGGGAAUUCCCAGUGUAGCGGUGAAAUGCGUAGAUAUUGGGAAGAACAUCGGUGGCGAAAGCGCGCUACUUGGCCGAAACUGACACUGAGGGACGAAAGCUAGGGUAGCGAAAG